GACGAACGCUGGCGGCGUGCCUAAUACAUGCCAGUUGAGCGCUGAAGGUUGGUACUUGUACCGACUGGAUGAGCAGCGAACGGGUGAGUAACGCGUGGGGAAUCUGCCUUUGAGCGGGGGACAACAUUUGGAAACGAAUGCUAAUACCGCAUAAAAACUUUAAACACAAGUUUUAAGUUUGAAAGAUGCAAUUGCAUCACUCAAAGAUGAUCCCGCGUUGUAUUAGCUAGUUGGUGAGGUAAAGGCUCACCAAGGCGAUGAUACAUAGCCGACCUGAGAGGGUGAUCGGCCACAUUGGGACUGAGACACGGCCCAAACUCCUACGGGAGGCAGCAGUAGGGAAUCUUCGGCAAUGGACGAAAGUCUGACCGAGCAACGCCGCGUGAGUGAAGAAGGUUUUCGGAUCGUAAAACUCUGUUGGUAGAGAAGAACGUUGGUGGGAGUGGAAAGCUCAUCAAGUGACGGUAACUACCCAGAAAGGGACGGCUAACUACGUG
RNAcentral lists this ribosomal RNA (497 nucleotides) under uncultured bacterium. Its description in RNAcentral is "partial 16S ribosomal RNA". It matches the Rfam family "Bacterial small subunit ribosomal RNA", at positions 28 to 507 of the family's 1533-position model. The record is from RNAcentral.